GCAUAUCAAUAAGCGGAGGAAAAGAAACUAACAAGGAUUCCCCUAGUAACGGCGAGUGAAGCGGGAAGAGCUCAAAUUUGAAAUCUGGUGGCCUCAGGCGUCCGAGUUGUAAUCUAUAGAGGCGUUUUCCGCGCCGGACCGCGUCCAAGUCUCUUGGAAUAGAGUAUCAAAGAGGGUGACAAUCCCGUACUUGACGCGACAACCGGUGCUCUGUGAUACGUUCUCAAUGAGUCGAGUUGUUUGGGAAUGCAGCUCUAAAUGGGUGGUAAAUUCCAUCUAAGGCUAAAUAUUGGCGAGAGACCGAUAGCGAACAAGUACCGUGAGGGAAAGAUGAAAAGCACUUUGGAAAGAGAGUUAAACAGCACGUGAAAUUGUUAAAAGGGAAACGAUUGAAGUCAGUCGUGUGAAAGGUAUACAGCCGUCUCUGGCGGUGUAUUUGCCUUUCACGGGUCAACAUCAGUUUGAUCCGGUAGAAAAAGGCGGAAUGAAGGUGGCACCCUCGGGUGUGUUAUAGCUUUCUGUCAUAUGUGCCGGACCAGACUGAGGAACGCAGCUUGCCGCAAGGCCGGGGUUCGCCCACGUACAAGCUUAGGAUGUUGACAUAAUAGCUUUAAACGACCCGUCUUGAAACACGGACC
This 638-nucleotide ribosomal RNA is filed under the name uncultured fungus. RNAcentral describes it as "LSU rRNA". It matches the Rfam family "Eukaryotic large subunit ribosomal RNA", at positions 38 to 667 of the family's 3401-position model. Lineage: Eukaryota; Fungi. The record is from RNAcentral.